GUGGGAUGAGUGUGUGUCGGAGCCCUGUAAAACGGAGGAACCUGUGAGGACCAGCCCGGAUCCUACUACUGCACUGCCAACAGGGUUUCAUGGGACGAGACUGUGAAAUAGAGCAGGACAGGUGUGAGUCCAGCCCCUGUCUGAACGGCGGGGUGUGUCGCGGCUACAGGCGGAGCCACCCGUGUCUCUGUAAAGAAGGCUUCUUCGGAGACCGCUGCCAGUCGUUGGAGAAUCCCUGUGUACUGCAGCCGUGUGGGAACAGAGGCCUCUGCCACAGUAACAG
Non-coding RNA from Salvelinus sp. IW2-2015, 283 nucleotides. NCBI's taxonomy places the organism in Eukaryota, Metazoa, Chordata, Actinopteri, Salmoniformes, Salmonidae. The record is from RefSeq and is a predicted model, not a curated record.